AAAAUUAAUAAUUAAAAAGAUGUGGCAGCCAUUGUAAAUAAGUUCUAACUCUAGGAUUUAUUUCACAAAAUGGCUUUAAAAAUGUAUAUGUAGAUGAUACUCAAUUAUAUCAGUUACCUAAAU
This 123-nucleotide small RNA is filed under the name Arabidopsis thaliana (thale cress). RNAcentral describes it as "ATSL178090". The record is from RNAcentral. Lineage: Eukaryota; Viridiplantae; Streptophyta; Magnoliopsida; Brassicales; Brassicaceae.